UGUUUCGACACACUAUCAUUAACUGAAUCCAUAGGUUAAUGAGGCGAACCGGGGGAACUGAAACAUCUAAGUACCCCGAGGAAAAGAAAUCAACCGAGAUUCCCCCAGUAGCGGCGAGCGAACGGGGAGGAGCCCAGAGCCUGAAUCAGUGUGUGUGUUAGUGGAAGCGUCUGGAAAGGCGCGCGAUACAGGGUGACAGCCCCGUACACAAAAAUGCACAUACUGUGAGCUCGAUGAGUAGGGCGGGACACGUGGUAUCCUGUCUGAAUAUGGGGGGACCAUCCUCCAAGGCUAAAUACUCCUGACUGACCGAUAGUGAACCAGUACCGUGAGGGAAAGGCGAAAAGAACCCCGGCGAGGGGAGUGAAAAAGAACCUGAAACCGUGUACGUACAAGCAGUGGGAGCCUCUUAAUGGGGUGACUGCGUACCUUUUGUAUAAUGGGUCAGCGACUUAUAUUCUGUAGCAAGGUUAACCGAAUAGGGGAGCCGAAGGGAAACCGAGUCUUAACUGGGCGUUAAGUUGCAGGGUAUAGACCCGAAACCCGGUGAUCUAGCCAUGGGCAGGUUGAAGGUUGGGUAACACUAACUGGAGGACCGAACCGACUAAUGUUGAAAAAUUAGCGGAUGACUUGUGGCUGGGGGUGAAAGGCCAAUCAAACCGGGAGAUAGCUGGUUCUCCCCGAAAGCUAUUUAGGUAGCGCCUCGUGAAUUCAUCUCCGGGGGUAGAGCACUGUUUCGGCAAGGGGGUCAUCCCGACUUACCAACCCGAUGCAAACUGCGAAUACCGGAGAAUGUUAUCACGGGAGACACACGGCGGGUGCUAACGUCCGUCGUGAAGAGGGAAACAACCCAGACCGCCAGCUAAGGUCCCAAAGUCAUGGUUAAGUGGGAAACGAUGUGGGAAGGCCCAGACAGCCAGGAUGUUGGCUUAGAAGCAGCCAUCAUUUAAAGAAAGCGUAAUAGCUCACUGGUCGAGUCGGCCUGCGCGGAAGAUGUAACGGGGCUAAACCAUGCACCGAAGCUGCGGCAGCGACACUAUGUGUUGUUGGGUAGGGGAGCG
RNAcentral lists this ribosomal RNA (1061 nucleotides) under Escherichia coli. RNAcentral's name for it is "partial 23S ribosomal RNA". It matches the Rfam family "Bacterial large subunit ribosomal RNA", at positions 136 to 1238 of the family's 2925-position model. Lineage: Bacteria; Pseudomonadati; Pseudomonadota; Gammaproteobacteria; Enterobacterales; Enterobacteriaceae. The record is from RNAcentral.